AACUUCUUAUUCAUAUCAAGAAAGGCUUUAAAUACACAUAAAUACUCUUAAACCAAUCACAUUAAAUAUAGCCAUAAAAAGAAAACAACUUAAGAUUAGACUCCUAUUG
Long non-coding RNA from Ipomoea nil (Japanese morning glory), 109 nucleotides. RefSeq lists it as uncharacterized. The transcript is spliced from 4 exons. The record is from RefSeq and is a predicted model, not a curated record. NCBI's taxonomy places the organism in Eukaryota, Viridiplantae, Streptophyta, Magnoliopsida, Solanales, Convolvulaceae.